RNAcentral lists this ribosomal RNA (255 nucleotides) under uncultured bacterium. RNAcentral's name for it is "partial 16S ribosomal RNA". It matches the Rfam family "Bacterial small subunit ribosomal RNA", at positions 524 to 776 of the family's 1533-position model. The record is from RNAcentral.
UACGUAGGGUGCGAGCGUUAAUCGGAAUUACUGGGCGUAAAGCGUGCGCAGGCGGUUCGUUGUGUCUGAUGUGAAAGCCCCGGGCUCAACCUGGGAAUGGCAUUGGAAACUGGCGAGCUGGAGUGUGGCAGAGGGGGGGGUGGAAUUCCGCGUGUAGCAGUGAAAUGCGUAGAGAUGCGGAGGAACACCGAUGGCGAAGGCAGCCCCCUGGGCUGACACUGACGCUCAGGCACGAAAGCGUGGGGAGCAAACAGG